RNAcentral lists this transfer RNA (85 nucleotides) under Felis catus (domestic cat). It matches the Rfam family "tRNA". From Rfam's summary of the family: Transfer RNA (tRNA) molecules are approximately 80 nucleotides in length. Their secondary structure includes four short double-helical elements and three loops (D, anti-codon, and T loops). Further hydrogen bonds mediate the characteristic L-shaped molecular structure. tRNAs have two regions of fundamental functional importance: the anti-codon, which is responsible for specific mRNA codon recognition, and the 3' end, to which the tRNAs corresponding amino acid is attached (by aminoacyl-tRNA synthetases). tRNAs cope with the degeneracy of the genetic code in two manners: having more than one tRNA (with a specific anti-codon) for a particular amino acid; and 'wobble' base-pairing, i.e. permitting non-standard base-pairing at the 3rd anti-codon position. Lineage: Eukaryota; Metazoa; Chordata; Mammalia; Carnivora; Felidae. The record is from Rfam by way of RNAcentral.
GCCUGGGUGGCUCAGUCAGUUGAGCGUCUGACUUCAGCUCAGGUCAUGAUCUCGUGGUCUGUGAGUUCGAGCCCCGCCUCAGGCU